Molecule: ribosomal RNA, 422 nt
Filed under: uncultured bacterium
Lineage: Bacteria
Description: bacterial SSU rRNA
Rfam family: Bacterial small subunit ribosomal RNA
Source: RNAcentral
AACAAACGCUGGCGGCGUGCCUAAUACAUGCAAGUCGAACGGGGAAAGUAGCAAUACGAGUACUAGUGGCGCACGGGUGAGGAAUACAUGGGUAAUCUGCCCUCGAGCUCGGGAUAACCAGUCGAAAGACUGGCUAAUACCGGAUAUGACCACAAGAUCUGAGGAUCAAGGGGUAAAAGGUUUUUCGCUUGAGGAUGAGCCCAUGUGGGAUUAGCUAGUUGGUGUAGGUAACGGCUCACCAAGGCGACGAUCCCUAACUGGUCUUAGAGGAUGAUCAGUCACACUGGAACUGAGACACGGUCCAGACUCCUACGGGAGGCAGCAGUAGGGAAUAUUGCACAAUGGAGGAAACUCUGAUGCAGCGACGCCGCGUGAGUGAUGAAGGCCUUCGGGUCGUUAAAGCUCUGUCGUAUGGGACUAAC